GGGGUUGUUGCUUAGGGGUAGAGUGCUCACCUAGUGUGUGUGAGGCACUGGGUUCGAUCCUCAGCACCUCA
Molecule: transfer RNA, 71 nt
Filed under: Marmota monax (woodchuck)
Lineage: Eukaryota; Metazoa; Chordata; Mammalia; Rodentia; Sciuridae
Rfam family: tRNA
About the family: Transfer RNA (tRNA) molecules are approximately 80 nucleotides in length.
Source: Rfam by way of RNAcentral